UCAUAGGACCACAUCGAAAAAUCUAGUUUCUGAGAAAAAGAGGAGAAAAUGAAUAGCACCACUAGAACAACAAUUGAGGAUGGAAUAUCACUAGUAUUUGGGGUAAUUCUGAGGAAGAGUUUUUGUAGAUUGAGAGAAAUGAACGACUUGUUUUCUGAGUUUAUGUCUAUUCUUGUCACAACUAUUCAGUACUCUGAUCAUGUCAUAGCUCAGCGGGGUCGCGGUGGUCAACGACAAUCUAAUGACUUUCCAGGCAGAUAUUCGCUGAUUUCGUCCAUGGAUGCUCGCCCUGAUAGGGACAUCGGCUUGGUAUGUCUUGACCGGCAGUACUAGUUUUUAUCUUUGUAAUCUACUGUUGAAACAUGUAGUAAGUUUGCACUUUUUAAAUAACUAGAUACUUUUUUCAUAAAUGUUAAGCAACUUGUUGUCUUAUGGUCUUGUGGCACAGCUUCUUUUAAAUUUGUUCCUCCUAGCCUCAUUUGAAGCAAUUGGUGAACUCUCAUGAGAGACUGAUUAGCUUUGUAAUCUGGAGGAAUUAUAACUAUUAAUUAGCAGAUUGGUUUCAAA
Papaver somniferum (opium poppy) is the source of this 567-nucleotide long non-coding RNA. RefSeq lists it as uncharacterized. NCBI's taxonomy places the organism in Eukaryota, Viridiplantae, Streptophyta, Magnoliopsida, Ranunculales, Papaveraceae. The transcript has 2 exons. The record is from RefSeq and is a predicted model, not a curated record.